GAUGAAGAACGCAGCGAAAUGCGAUAAGUAAUGUGAAUUGCAGAACUCAGUGAAUCAUCGAAUCUUUGAACGCACAUUGCGCCCCUUGGUAUUCCGAGGGGCAUGCCUGUUCGAGCGUCAUUUCAACCCCUCAAGCUUCGGCUUGGUGUUGGGCCGCGCCGCUGCACCAGCAGCUGGCGGGCCUCAAAAUCAGUGGCGGUGCCGUCUCGGCUCUAAGCGUAGUAACAUCUCUCGCUCUGGAGACCUGGCGGUGGCUUGCCAGACAACCCCCAACUUUCUUUAAGGUUUGACCUCGGAUCAGGUAGGGAUACCCGCUGAACUUAAGCAUAUCAAUAGCGGAGGA
This 343-nucleotide unclassified non-coding RNA is filed under the name soil metagenome. RNAcentral's name for it is "partial contains 5.8S ribosomal RNA, internal transcribed spacer 2, and large subunit ribosomal RNA". The stretch from base 1 to 120 matches the Rfam family "5.8S ribosomal RNA", at positions 35 to 154 of the family's 154-position model. The record is from RNAcentral.